UCUGUAGAUAGCCCCUCCCCCCACAG
Molecule: non-coding RNA, 26 nt
Filed under: Mus musculus (house mouse)
Lineage: Eukaryota; Metazoa; Chordata; Mammalia; Rodentia; Muridae
Source: RNAcentral